RNAcentral lists this unclassified non-coding RNA (363 nucleotides) under soil metagenome. RNAcentral describes it as "partial contains 5.8S ribosomal RNA, internal transcribed spacer 2, and large subunit ribosomal RNA". The stretch from base 1 to 121 matches the Rfam family "5.8S ribosomal RNA", at positions 35 to 154 of the family's 154-position model. The record is from RNAcentral.
GAUGAAGAACGCAGCGAAAUGCGAUAAGUAAUGCGAAUUGCAGAAUUCCAGUGAGUCAUCGAAUCUUUGAACGCACAUUGCGCCCUUUGGCAUUCCGAAGGGCAUGCCUGUUCGAGCGUCAUUAUCACCUCUCAAGCCCCUCGGGUUUGGCCUUGGAGGUCGGUUGGGCUUCGCCCGACCCCUCCCAAAGACAAUGACGGCGGCUUUGUCUGACCCCCGGUACACUGAGCUUCUUAACCGAGCACGUACCGGAACGAGGGUCGGCGGGUCACGGUCUCCUCCCUUUGCAGGGAAAUUUUCUCAGGUUGACCUCGGAUCAGGUAGGGAUACCCGCUGAACUUAAGCAUAUCAAUAAGCGGAGGA